GCAGUUAAAAAGCUCGUAGUUG
RNAcentral lists this non-coding RNA (22 nucleotides) under Arabidopsis thaliana (thale cress). The record is from RNAcentral. Lineage: Eukaryota; Viridiplantae; Streptophyta; Magnoliopsida; Brassicales; Brassicaceae.